This is a long non-coding RNA of Stegostoma tigrinum, 507 nucleotides long. RefSeq lists it as uncharacterized. NCBI's taxonomy places the organism in Eukaryota, Metazoa, Chordata, Chondrichthyes, Orectolobiformes, Stegostomatidae. The transcript is spliced from 3 exons. The record is from RefSeq and is a predicted model, not a curated record.
UUCCCAGACUGUGAGACACGGCGUGUAUUUCCUGGGAAGGACUUUUGACACUGGCGGAGUACUGGCUUCAGGCAGUAUAAAUUGCUGCAAGUUAUACGUUAGAUAUUUCAUGGAGGAGAAAUGCCGAAAACGCGUUCAGAACUGCAUGUUCAAAAACAAAGUUGCUGGAAAAGCUCAGAUAUUUAUUGAGAAUAAUUUGCAGACCAGGAUCACAAAGCAAGUUCUCCAUUAAGCGGAGUGAUCAGGAUCUGAGUAUCAUUGACACUUAACUGGGAAAGGGAAGAGGUUUAACCAUUCUAUGCGUGGGAGAAUACUCCUGAUAUUAGAUGGGGAACAUGUACAAGUGGAAAACUCAAAUAUCACAUCAGGAUCUGACAGUGAUGCUUGAUUCCUGGAAACAGAAAGCACCCCAUUCACAGAGUGAAGAAACUGCAGCACGUUGUGGAUGUGGAUGUGGAUGAGGCUACAGUUGAUCAUCUGGAUUGCGAAAACACAAGCAGAGUCACA